Molecule: non-coding RNA, 73 nt
Organism: Albula goreensis
Lineage: Eukaryota; Metazoa; Chordata; Actinopteri; Albuliformes; Albulidae
Source: the annotation of a GenBank genome assembly
GCCAGAGUAGUAUAAUGGUGAGGAAGCUUGUCUUAUAACUCAGAGGUUGUUGGUUCAAUACCUAUCCAGGGCA